GACGAACGCUGGCGGCGUGCUUAACACAUGCAAGUCGAACGGAAAGGCCCUGCUUUUGUGGGGUGCUCGAGUGGCGAACGGGUGAGUAACACGUGAGUAACCUGCCCUUGACUUUGGGAUAACUUCAGGAAACUGGGGCUAAUACCGGAUAGGAGCUCCUGCUGCAUGGUGGGUGUUGGAAAGAUUCGGCGGUUGGGGAUGGACUCGCGGCCUAUCAGCUUGUUGGUGGGGUAGUGGCUUACCAAUGCUUUGACGGGUAGCCGGCCUGAGAGGGAGACCGGCCACAUUGGGCCUGAGAAACGACCCAGACUGCUACGGGAGCAAUCGGUGGGAGUUAGAGCACAAUGGGCGGAAGGCUGAUGCAGCAUCGCCGCGUCCUAGAUCACGGCCUUCGGGUUAUAAACCUUUUUCGCGUGUGACGAAGCGUGAGUGACGGUAAUGUGUAAGGAAGCACCGGCUAACUACGUG
RNAcentral lists this ribosomal RNA (468 nucleotides) under uncultured bacterium. Its description in RNAcentral is "partial 16S ribosomal RNA". It matches the Rfam family "Bacterial small subunit ribosomal RNA", at positions 28 to 507 of the family's 1533-position model. The record is from RNAcentral.